RNAcentral lists this ribosomal RNA (495 nucleotides) under uncultured bacterium. Its description in RNAcentral is "partial 16S ribosomal RNA". It matches the Rfam family "Bacterial small subunit ribosomal RNA", at positions 28 to 523 of the family's 1533-position model. The record is from RNAcentral.
GAUGAACGCUGGCGGCGUGCUUAACACAUGCAAGUCGAGCGAAGCACUUUUGCAGUUUUCUUCGGAUCGAAGCAACUGUGACUGAGCGGCGGACGGGUGAGUAACGCGUGGGUAACCUGCCUCAUACAGGGGGAUCACAGUUGGAAACGGCUGCUAAUACCGCAUAAGCGCACAGUACCGCAUGGUACGGUGCGAAAAACUCCGGUGGUAUGAGAUGGACCCUCGUCUGAUUAGGUAGUUGGUGGGGUAACGGCCUACCAAGCCGACGAUCAGUAGCCGACCUGAGAGGGUGACCAGCCACAUUGGGACUGAGACACGGCCCAAACUCCUACGGGAGGCAGCGGUGGGGAAUAUUGCACAAUGAGGGAAACCCUGAUGCAGCGACGCCGCGUGAGCGAUGAAGUAUUUCGGUAUGUAAAGCUCUAUCAGCAGGGAAGGAAAUGACGGUACCUGACUAAGAAGCCCCGGCUAACUACGUGCCAGCCGCCGCCGUAA